CCUACGGGGGGCAGCAGUGAGGAAUAUUGGUCAAUGGCCGGAAGGCUGAACCAGCCAAGCCGCGUGAAGGACGAAGGUGCCAAGCAUUGUAAACUUCUUUUGUCAAGGGACAAAAUCAGGCUCGAGAGCCUGACCGAGGGUACUUGAAGAAAAAGCAUCGGCUAACUCCGUGCCAGCAGCCGCGGUAAUACGGAGGAUGCGAGCGUUAUCCGGAUUUAUUGGGUUUAAAGGGUGCGCAGGCGGGCUGUUAAGCCGGCGGUAACAAUUCAGGGCUCAACCCUGUCGAGCCGUCGGAACUGGCAGUCUUGAGUGGGCGAGAAGUAUGCGGAAUGCGUGGUGUAGCGGUGAAAUGCAUAGAUAUCACGCAGAACGCCGAUUGCGAAGGCAGCAUACCGGCGCCCAACUGACGCUGAGGCACGAAAGCGUGGGGAUCGAACAGGAUUAGAUACCCCGGUAGUC
Molecule: ribosomal RNA, 459 nt
Filed under: uncultured bacterium
Lineage: Bacteria
Description: partial 16S ribosomal RNA
Rfam family: Bacterial small subunit ribosomal RNA
Source: RNAcentral